AGUGAACGCUGGCGGUAGGCCUAACACAUGCGAGUCGAACGGCAGCACAGUAAGAGCUUGCUCUUACGGGUGGCGAGUGGCGGACGGGUGAGGAAUACAUCGGAAUCUACUUUUUCGUGGGGGAUAACGUAGGGAAACUUACGCUAAUACCGCAUACGACCUACGGGUGAAAGCAGGGGAUCUUCGGACCUUGCGCGAUUGAAUGAGCCGAUGUCGGAUUAGCUAGUUGGCGGGGUAAAGGCCCACCAAGGCGACGAUCCGUAGCUGGUCUGAGAGGCUGAUCAGCCACACUGGAACUGAGACACGGUCCAGACUCCUACGGGAGGCAGCAGUGGGGAAUAUUGGACAAUGGGCGCAAGCCUGAUCCAGCCAUACCGCGUGGGUGAAGAAGGCCUUCGGGUUGUAAAGCCCUUUUGUUGGGAAAGAAAAGCAGCAGGUUAAUACCCCGCUGUUCUGACGGUACCCAAAGAAUAAGCACCGGCUAACUUCGUG
RNAcentral lists this ribosomal RNA (492 nucleotides) under uncultured bacterium. RNAcentral's name for it is "partial 16S ribosomal RNA". It matches the Rfam family "Bacterial small subunit ribosomal RNA", at positions 29 to 507 of the family's 1533-position model. The record is from RNAcentral.